This 643-nucleotide ribosomal RNA is filed under the name Ascaridia galli. RNAcentral's name for it is "SSU rRNA". It matches the Rfam family "Eukaryotic small subunit ribosomal RNA", at positions 818 to 1486 of the family's 1831-position model. Lineage: Eukaryota; Metazoa; Nematoda; Chromadorea; Rhabditida; Ascaridiidae. The record is from RNAcentral.
UGGAAUAGGAUCUCGGUUCUAUUCAGUUGGUUUUCUGAUCUGAGAUAAUGGUUAAGAGGGACAGACGGGGGCAUUCGUAUCGCUUCGUGAGAGGUGAAAUUCUUGGACCGUAGCGAGACGCCCGACUGCGAAAGCAUUUGCCAAGAAUGUCUUCAUUAAUCAAGAACGAAAGUCAGAGGUUCGAAGGCGAUCAGAUACCGCCCUAGUUCUGACCGUAAACGAUACCAACUAGCGUUCCGUCAUCGGUAAAUAUGCCUUGACGGGCAGCUUCCCGGAAACGAAAGUGUUUCGGUUCCGGGGGAAGUAUGGUUGCAAAGCUGAAACUUAAAGAGAUUGACGGAAGGGCACCACUAGGAGUGGAGCCUGCGGCUUAAUUCGACUCAACACGGGAAAACUCACCUGGCCCGGACACCGUGAGGAUUGACAGAUUGAGAGCUCUUUCUUGAUUCGGUGGUUGGUGGCGCAUGGCCGUUCGUGGUUCGUGGAUUGGUCUGUCAGGUUUAUUCCGAUAACGAGCGAGACUCUGACCUACUAAAUAGUGUCUAGAUUAUUUUUGUCUUGACGACUUCUUAGAGGGACAAGCGGUGUUCAGCCGCAUGAAGUUGAGCAAUAACAGGUCUGUGAUGCCCUUAGAUGUUCAGGG